UACGGAAGGCAGCAGUGGGGAAUAUUGCACAAUGGGCGCAAGCCUGAUGCAGCCAUGCCGCGUGUAUGAAAAAGGCCUUCGGGUUGUAAAGUACUUUCAGUCGUGAGGAAGGUGUUAAGGUUAAUAACCUUAGCAAUUGACGUUAGCGACAGAAGAAGCACCGGCUAACUCCGUGCCAGCAGCCGCGGUAAUACGGAGGGUGCGAGCGUUAAUCGGAAUUACUGGGCGUAAAGGGCACGCAGGCGGUUAAUUAAGUUGGAUGUGAAAUCCCCGGGCUUAACCUGGGAAUGGCAUUCAAGACUGGUUAGCUAGAGUCUUGUAGAGGGGGUAGAAUUCCAUGUGUAGCGGUGAAAUGCGUAGAGAUGUGGAGGAAUACCGGUGGCGAAGGCGGCCCCUGGACAAGACUGACGCUCAUGUGCGAAAGCGUGGGGAGCAAACGAGGAUUAGAUACCCGU
RNAcentral lists this ribosomal RNA (455 nucleotides) under uncultured bacterium. Its description in RNAcentral is "bacterial SSU rRNA". It matches the Rfam family "Bacterial small subunit ribosomal RNA", at positions 340 to 790 of the family's 1533-position model. The record is from RNAcentral.